Molecule: ribosomal RNA, 409 nt
Filed under: uncultured bacterium
Lineage: Bacteria
Description: bacterial SSU rRNA
Rfam family: Bacterial small subunit ribosomal RNA
Source: RNAcentral
AACGAACGCUGGCGGCAUGCCUAACACAUGCAAGUCGAACGAGACCUUCGGGUUUAGUGGCGCACGGGUGCGUAACGCGUGGGAAUCUGCCCUUGGGUUCGGAAUAACUUCGGGAAACUGAAGCUAAUACCGGAUGAUGACGUAAGUCCAAAGAUUUAUCGCCCAAGGAUGAGCUCGCGUAGGAUUAGCUAGUUGGUGGGGUAAAGGCCUACCAAGGCGACGAUCUUUAGCUGGUCUGAGAGGAUGAUCAGCCACACUGGGACUGAGACACGGCCCAGACUCCUACGGGAGGCAGCAGUGGGGAAUAUUGGACAAUGGGCGAAAGCCUGAUCCAGCAAUGCCGCGUGAGUGAUGAAGCUUAGGUUGUAAGCUCUUUGUUCCGGGAAGAUAAUAGACUGUACCGGAAGAA